This 2274-nucleotide long non-coding RNA is filed under the name Glycine max (soybean). RNAcentral's name for it is "long non-coding RNA (GMAX_LNC004493)". The record is from RNAcentral. Lineage: Eukaryota; Viridiplantae; Streptophyta; Magnoliopsida; Fabales; Fabaceae.
UGAGCGCGGCGCAAAAAGUUCAGCUGGAUGAGUGACUAUGCGCUGAGUCGCCUGAGCGCGCACCAUGCGCUAAUCGCACAUGCACGUGAAGGCUAGCUUCCUAUGUGACUUUUAGCUCUAAGCAAGGCUAUCGCGCUGAGCAAUCUUCACACGAUGAGUGAGUUUGGCGUGCUGAGCGCGACUCUCCAAUUCUUCAACUCUAUUACAUGCCUUCUGUUGUGUCUCUACAAAAAGUAUACCACAAAAAAUACUAUAAAUUUACUAGUUUUAGCACCUACUAGAUAAAAAACUCAAAAAAAUAUUAAAUUCCUAAUGUUUAACACAAAAAGAAGUAAUAAAAGAGAGAAAAAUUAGAUAAUUGCUGUGUGAUUUAAUUACACAAUUUACGUAUACCUAACAAUUAUGAGUACAAAAGCCUAGAAGUUAUAUAAUCUAAACAUUGGAAAUGUAGAAUUUGAUGAAGAAAGCAUAUAAUUAAUAAUAGGAUAAAGAAGACACCUAUGAUUUCCUUUCAUAUUUUGUAGAAAAUGAUCAAGGCCAGGUAAGCUUUCAACUACUCCUCGUUCACCUACUCCUUCAAGGAGUUUAACAUGAGCCAAAAGGAAAGUACAAAGAUUUAUAUGUCGAUAAUAAGUCCACCAAGCUAAGAAUAUAUCCAAUUUCAUGAAUGAAGCAAGCAUAUAGGCAUAAGGAAUAAUUUAAUUAGAGAAUUCAUUGUCAACAAAGAGGUGAAGCUAGUUUAUAUGAAGACACAAGAUCAUUCACAAAGUCUCUCAAAUUUAAAGAUUUUAGAAGAUUAAGAGUAAGAGUUGAUUGGUGCUUAGUAUUUUCUUUUUGUAAAGUUUCUAAUUAAAGGGAGUGAUAGAAAUAAUAUUAGUAAAUAGAAAAUAAAGUUUUAGAAGUUUCAAAGAUUAAGGAUUAUACGCUAAUUUUAAACCAUUAGUAAGUAUUAUUAUGCCCAUUAGUAAGGGUUAUGAGUUACUUCAUUUACUAAUAGAAUCUUCCCACUAAAAUUAAACUAGCGUAAAAAUUAAUCAUGAAUGGCAUUUGGUGCACAUAAACAUGUUUUUUUUUUAUAUAUAAAACGUUGAAAUUGUACCUUUUUAAAUAAGUAAUCUUAACAUAAAUAUAAUAAUGCCAAUUGAAUCUGUUUUAUAAUUGACCAAAUAAUCUUAAUGAAUUGAAGAGAUGCUGCCAGCUAUAACGUAAUGACAGCUUAUAAAGAUCAAAUCAUAAGUGAAGAAAGAACCGAAUCGUUAAUAGUAUUUUAUAAAAAUAUUGGAACAUGAAUUUGGGAAUUAGUUAGGUCCAUGUAUGAAAUUAAAAUAGAGCUAGAGCUAGAGUUGUUAAUAGUAUUAAAUAGGAGGUGUGGCUAGCUAAGGGAAAUGAUAUUAAAGUAUUUAAUGAGGAAACAGAAAGCAAAGGCAGGAGAGGAGCGGUGGGCUGGCAAGAACACAUAUAUACAGCUUGGCAGAAUGCAGAUGGCUCCACAUAAUUUUGCAGUGGAAUGCAACAUAAGCUACUGUAAUACAUGAAUAAAUGAUAGAGAAGAUGGGGGGGCUGUAGCACCUAGUGGCCUAAACUUGUUAGAGUCUACGCAAUUGAAGAUUGGAAAGCGACCCAACAGGAAGAAAGCCCAACGGUUUUCUCAGAGGGUAGUGAGGGCCUUGUAAUGAGAGACUAGACUCCUAGUGUGGGGUUUGAUUUCUUUUUCUUUUUUAAUAAUAACUAAUUUGGUACUAGAAUUGAAUUGAAGGGAGGGUAGCUAUGAAGGAAGGAACUGUAAUUACAUUACAUAUGCUUCAAUCUACAGCUACCUAGCCAGCUGCAUGCUGCAGCUAUUAUUUGGCCUAUUGUACUCUUUCUGCCUUCCCCUACCAUACACACUGUGUCUGUACCCCAUAUAUAUAGUUAUAUAUACAUCUCAUAUGGAAUUAUUUGGGUAAACUCGCCACCACUGAAUAAAGUUCCUUUUCCAGCAAUCUGGUUGAUUUGUAUAAUUGCAUUGUGUCCCCAUUCCUUUACAUAUGGUCCCACUCCUAUUUCUGUGGUCUCCCUUUAUCCCUUGAUAGUAGCAGAUCCAGUUUUUAGAUCGAUCAGCAAGUCUGUGCUAGAUUCAUAACCCUCUCCAUGCCUUCUCUUUGUCCUAUCUACUAUAUUGCUCAUGCUAAAUACUUUUUUCACUGUUUUGGUAACCUAUCUUCUCUCUUUGUCUCUCUCUUGAAUAGUAAAUUUGCCUCCACCAAAUCUUUCUUGCAUAUCUACAUAUCAAUC